Molecule: long non-coding RNA, 1683 nt
Organism: Gordionus sp. m RMFG-2023
Lineage: Eukaryota; Metazoa; Nematomorpha; Gordioida; Chordodea; Parachordodidae
Exons: 6
Source: RefSeq, a predicted model, not a curated record
AUUCUUGAAGAUGUAGAUUUGGAGAAACCUGCUAGUCAUAGAAAAUAUGCUUCACAAACAAUAGCCAAUGAUCAUAUAUAUACAGCCAAUUUAUCAUUCUUAUCAAGAAAGAUCAAAUAUCAAGAUAAAUAUAUUUUAAAAUUAAGAAAAAAAAUGAGCGCCUCUUAUAAGAGGGAAACUAUAAGAAAUAAGAAGAUUAUUGAUUUAAAAUCAAUUAUUAAACAUUUGAAGAAUAAAAAUUUAAUAUGUGGUGAAGGGGAGGAUCAAUUAAAAAAUUUUUUUACAGGCAUCCCUUACGUAUGCCACAUGAUUAAGUUGUUGGAAAUCUUCUCGGUGAUAAAAAAUUUUAAUUUAUAAUAAUGGAUCAAUAAUAAAUUGGAAAUAUAUAGCUAAUCUUCACAAUUUACAAGAUAAAGAAGGACUUCGUGCUGCUAAUAAAAUUAAUAAAUCUCAUAUUGACUAUCACAAACAAAAAAUGAAAGUUAAACUUGCUGUACAAAAGGUAAUCUUUUGGCACAAGAGCUAAAGAUUGAUGGAUUUGAAAAUUGUGAGAGCACAGUUGACUUUAUUCAAAUGAUUGAUCAAAUGUUUGACUUUUUAAAUACACGGAACAUAGUUGCUAAAGGGUUUAAAAAACCACUAACUACAAAUUCACUUUCUUAUUAUGAAAAUUUUUUUGAGAUGUGCAUUACAACUUUAAAAUCCUUAAAGUUUGAAAGUGGAAAAUACGUUUAUAGAUCAAAAAAAAAGUCUGCAUUAUAGGCUUAAUCUUGUCAAUGAAAAGCAUUUUGGGAAUUGGGAGGGAAUUAUUAUUAGGACCUAACCCCAAACUCAAAUAUCUUUUAACCUACAAAACAUCUCAAGAUCAUCUAGAGCUCUUCUUUAGCUGUUUACGAAGCAGAGGAGGUUUUAAUAAUAACCCUUCUGCCUAUCAAUUACGAUCAGCUAUAAGAGGCGUUAUGAUAGCAAAGAUGGGAGCCUUAUGCACAGGUAAUUGUAUUCCACUCGAUAAUACAAAUCUUUUUUGUGGAGAUUAUCAAGAUAAUGAUGAUGACAAUAUACAAGCUAUAGAUUUUUCUUUUAUAGAUGUUCCAGAUAUCCAAAAAUUAUCGCCAUUCGUUGAUAACAUCGCAACUUAUAUAUCAGGAUAUAUAACACGUAAACUUAUAUUCGAAAAUAAGGUAAAGUGUUAUAUAUGUAUUUCUGCAAUGAUUGUUAAAAAUUGUAAAGAUCAAGAGAGCUAUAAUUAAAAACAAUCAGGGAUUAAUAAUUCCUUCCAGAGAUGUAUCUAGAUUAUGCCAAUAUGCUGAAAGUGGUUUCCGUACAUUUGAACAUAAUAAUCAAAUUAAAAGGCCUUGUAUAUUUAAACGAAUAGUAUCUUUUGUGAUUUCAAAAGUGAUAGAAACAAAUAUUUUUGAUAAUCUGGUUGAUCACAUGCUAGAUCAAGAAGAAACAUCUAGCCAUUAUUAAAAAUUAAUUAGAUUAAUAGUUGAACGUUACAUAAACAUAAGAUUUUAUCAUUUUGCAGAUAAACAAAAUAAAAAUGAAAAUACCAACAUUCGUCAGAAGCUGACCAAAACCAUUCUAUUUAAAGGACAAUAAAUAUAUCUAUAUAAUCUUUUUUAAUUUAAAUGAUAUUAGAUAUAUAUUGUAACUAUAUAUAUUUAAAUAUAAAUAAUAUCU